GCAGCCGCGGUAAUACGGAGGGUGCGAGCGUUAAUCGGAAUUACUGGGCGUAAAGCGCAUGCAGGUGGUUUGUUAAGUCAGAUGUGAAAGCCCCGGGGCUCAACCUCGGAAUUGCAUUUGAAACUGGCAAACUAGAGUACUGUAGAGGGGGUAGAAUUUCAGGUGUAGCGGUGAAAUGCGUAGAGAUCUGAAGGAAUACCGGUGGCGAAGGCGGCCCCCUGGACAGAUACUGACACUCAGAUGCGAAAGCGUGGGGAGCAAACAGGAUUAGAUACCCUGGUAG
RNAcentral lists this ribosomal RNA (283 nucleotides) under uncultured bacterium. RNAcentral's name for it is "partial 16S ribosomal RNA". It matches the Rfam family "Bacterial small subunit ribosomal RNA", at positions 511 to 793 of the family's 1533-position model. The record is from RNAcentral.